AAAGUUCUGAGAUUACAGGCAUGAGCUACUACAAAUGGCCAGGGAUGAUCUUUUUAAAAGGAAGUAUAGUUUAAUAAUAAUAUACAGGAAACAGGCUUAAGAUUUGAGUUGAGUAUAAACUUAAUAUAAAUCUAUAAUGCAAUGUGGCUGCGUGAACCAUUCUUAAAAUAUUAGAUUGUUUCAGUAUGCUUUAUUGUUUUGAAAAAAGAUAAGCAUCCUAUUAAGAUUUCAGCUUUUAUAUUGAGCUUUUGGAUUUGUAUUUGUAUUUUUAAGCUUUUGUAUUUGUUUCACUUAUAAAAAUCAUAAAGCUAUAACAAAACAAGUCAACUUGUGAUGUUUGUCUUCCAACAAUAGCUGAUGGCAUAUUUUUUUCAGGUUCAUACUGGAUUACACUUUGAUUAAAAGUUAUUUCUUAAUUCUCCAGGAUAAUAGAAACAUUAAUUAGUCAGAGAAACUCCGAAUAUAAGGAACUUUAGAGAAAAGGUGUGUUUGAGUGUGUGUGUGUGUUGUGGUGGGAGAGGGG
This is a long non-coding RNA of Sapajus apella (tufted capuchin), 523 nucleotides long. RefSeq lists it as uncharacterized. The record is from RefSeq and is a predicted model, not a curated record. The transcript is spliced from 3 exons. Lineage: Eukaryota; Metazoa; Chordata; Mammalia; Primates; Cebidae.